RNAcentral lists this non-coding RNA (22 nucleotides) under Arabidopsis thaliana (thale cress). The record is from RNAcentral. RNAcentral also lists the same sequence under 1 other name. Lineage: Eukaryota; Viridiplantae; Streptophyta; Magnoliopsida; Brassicales; Brassicaceae.
ACUGCGAAUGGCUCAUUAAAUC